RNAcentral lists this long non-coding RNA (252 nucleotides) under Ananas comosus (pineapple). RNAcentral describes it as "long non-coding RNA (ACOM_LNC036006)". Lineage: Eukaryota; Viridiplantae; Streptophyta; Magnoliopsida; Poales; Bromeliaceae. The record is from RNAcentral.
AAGAAUUGAAUGUAUGAAAUAGAUAAAGAAGUAAUUAAAUAAUUGUAUAUGGAUAAGCAUUAAAUUUUAUUUGUAGGAAAGAAGAAACUUAAGGCCCCGUUUGGAUACUCCUGAAAACGUAGCAUAGCUAAACUAUGCUACGGCGGUAGGAAAAAUAUCCUAUGAAGCGUUUGGGAGGAAAAAAAGUAACGUAAUUUUUGGAGUAUAGUUAAACUAUACUCCAAAAAAUGGAGUAAAAGUAUAAUCCACUCU